This 223-nucleotide long non-coding RNA is filed under the name Lathyrus oleraceus (garden pea). RNAcentral's name for it is "Pisum sativum (pea) long non-coding RNA (PSAT_LNC010254)". The record is from RNAcentral. Lineage: Eukaryota; Viridiplantae; Streptophyta; Magnoliopsida; Fabales; Fabaceae.
UCAAGAUCAAGUCAAAAUCUCACAUUCAUUCACAAUCACUUACAAUUCAUCACAAAUGUACAAGCAUUGGGGAAAAUACAAAAAAAAUAAGCUUUAACCAAUUGUUGACUUUGGUCAACGGUUGACUUUUUGGUCAACUUUGACCAAAGUCAACUCAUCCAUUUUUAACCAUCUAAGGCCUAAUCUAGCUCUUUUCCCGUGAUUUAUCAUCCAAGAGUCGUUU